CUUGCUACCUCUGUCUCCUUCUCAUUCUUUUCUCUCUCUUACCUUCGACGAACCCGAAGAAGAAGCUGAAGAAACUUGUAAAGAAAAUCAUCUAAAUUUUGUGGAAUUGCCCAUAUCUUGUGUAAAGGAAUUUGGAUUUGUUUAUAAUGUUUUCAGGCACUCAUCAUAUGUUGUCAAGAAAUAUUGGGUGGUUAAGAUCUGUUCAAAUGCAGUCAGAUCCUGGGAAAGCU
Pistacia vera is the source of this 230-nucleotide long non-coding RNA. RefSeq lists it as uncharacterized. The transcript is spliced from 3 exons. The record is from RefSeq and is a predicted model, not a curated record. NCBI's taxonomy places the organism in Eukaryota, Viridiplantae, Streptophyta, Magnoliopsida, Sapindales, Anacardiaceae.